RNAcentral lists this ribosomal RNA (1146 nucleotides) under uncultured fungus. RNAcentral describes it as "eukaryotic LSU rRNA". The stretch from base 522 to 1146 matches the Rfam family "Eukaryotic large subunit ribosomal RNA", at positions 1 to 649 of the family's 3401-position model. Lineage: Eukaryota; Fungi. The record is from RNAcentral.
AAGUCGUAACAAGGUCUCCGUAGGUGAACCUGCGGAGGGAUCAUUAUCGAGUGGAGGGUGCUCCGGCGCCCGACCUCCCAACCCUUUGAUUCGAUCAAGACCUCCUUCUGCCUCGGGGGCGACCCGGUCCUCGGCCCGCGGUCCCCCCGGUGGUCACCAACACAACUCCGCAUCAAUGGUCGUCUGAACAUGAAGCGAAUUCAAUCAAAACUUUCAACAACGGAUCUCUUGGUUCUGGCAUCGAUGAAGAACGCAGCGAAAUGCGAUAAGUAAUGUGAAUUGCAGAAUUCAGUGAAUCAUCGAAUCUUUGAACGCACAUUGCGCCCUUUGGCAUUCCGAAGGGCAUGCCUGUUCGAGCGUCAUUACACCAAUCAAGCCUGGCUUGGUAUUGGGCGAUGGGGUCGUCACCGAUCCCACGCCCCAAUGACCCCGGCGGGACGGACCGAAUCUCAGCGUUGUAAAUCAAAAGCCGCUGUCGAGACGGGACGGCCGUGCCGUGAAAACAACCCCCAUCACAAGGUUGACCUCGGAUCAGGUAGGGAUACCCGCUGAACUUAAGCAUAUCAAUAAGCGGAGGAAAAGAAACCAACAGGGAUUGCCCUAGUAACGGCGAGUGAAGCGGCAACAGCUCAAAUUUGAAAUCUGGCGCAAGCCCGAGUUGUAAUUUGCAGAGGAUGCUUCUGGGCAGCGGCCGGUCUAAGUUCCUUGGAACAGGACGUCAUAGAGGGUGAGAAUCCCGUAUGUGACCGGCUGGCACCCUCCACGUAGCUCCUUCGACGAGUCGAGUUGUUUGGGAAUGCAGCUCUAAAUGGGAGGUAAAUUUCUUCUAAAGCUAAAUACCGGCCAGAGACCGAUAGCGCACAAGUAGAGUGAUCGAAAGAUGAAAAGCACUUUGGAAAGAGAGUUAAAAAGCACGUGAAAUUGUUGAAAGGGAAGCGCUUGCGACCAGACUUGUCGGCGGUGUUCCGCCGGUCUUCUGACCGGUCUACUCGCCGUCGGCAGGCCAGCAUCAUCUGGGGCCGCCGGAUAAAGGCUUGGGGAAUGUAGCUCCUCUCGGGGAGUGUUAUAGCCCUUCGCACAAUACGGCGCGCCCCGGGUGAGGUCCGCGUCUCGGCAAGGAUGCUGGCGUAAUGGUUGCAAGCGGCC